This 1043-nucleotide long non-coding RNA is filed under the name Lotus japonicus. Its description in RNAcentral is "long non-coding RNA (LJAP_LNC000291)". The record is from RNAcentral. Lineage: Eukaryota; Viridiplantae; Streptophyta; Magnoliopsida; Fabales; Fabaceae.
ACGCCGAUCGGUUGUUAGCUAUGAGGGUUCCGUGGGAAUAGAUAGUUCUUGUACUUUGAAGCGGCGAUCAUCAAGCUUCGUAACUUUAACCAAUCAUAUUCUGAACAAUUGUUAAGUGGAGAAUUAGGGUUUCCAUCUCACGAUUGUAAGUUGGAAUUCAAUGCAAAAGCUUGUUGAAAGGUUGAAUUAAUCUUUUAUGAUCAAUGAAGGUUUGUUGCACAUGAAUGUUAUAAUCCGCAAUCAAAUCAAUCAAAACCUCUAUAUUGCUUUGCUAAUCUACAAUCAAAUCAAUCAAAACCUCCAUAUUUAUUUGCUUUUGUUUUACUCUAAUCUCAAUUAAUACUUCAUCGAGUCCAUGGGAGAUCGAUCUUGGUGUUCUAAUACCUUGUACUGCAUUCAAAGCAGAAUACUUUGACACACAUCACGACAGUGCUUUCGUCAGUAUCCUCCCUUGUAAACAAUCACUUUCCACCAAGACAUUUCAGAAGCCAAGAUCCAUUGCUAGCCUCAAGGCCCAAUUUGAGACUCCACGCUUUCGCCCGAAAAAGGGAGUUUACGACCCUGUAGCAGCUAGUGGUUGUCGCUAGCACCUGUCCCUUCCAAUUUCGACCCACAAAUCCACCUUCUGCACCCUGGUCCUGCUUGAACAACGCUUCCACGUUAAUCUUUAUUGUACCUCGUUAUGGUGGUCUCCACCCCACUCCUUGCACAUUUUCAUGCGAAACCCCCUCGCAGCCCGAGAGGAGAACAAGGAUAGGUCUGGCUCCUGCAAUUCCAGAUCACCCAAGCGAUUGCAAACACCCAUCUCGUAACACUAUCAUUUGCAUGUUUAAUCCACUGUACAAUCCAACUUGAGAAACUCACAGGCUCAUCAUGUAUUCUAAUUAAUAGAGGGGAAGCAAACCAACUUAAUCUCAUGUUGGGCACCGAAACAGUAGAUGAUCAAUUGUUUAUGGGGCCAUCGAUCACAUUGGGCAAACCUGGUCCAAUUCAACCCCUUUCCUAGCCGAAUUCUAGCAAACCCGUAGUACCUCCUAGCACGC